UUCCGGUUGAUCCUGCCGGACCUGACUGCUAUCGGAUUGAUACUAAGCCAUGCGAGUCAUUGUAGCAAUACAAGGCAUACGGCUCAGUAACGCGUAGUCAACCUAACCUAUGGACGGGAAUAACCUCGGGAAACUGAGAAUAAUGCCCGAUAGAACAUUAUACCUGGAAUGGUUUAUGUUCCAAAUGAUUUAUCGCCGUAGGAUGGGACUGCGGCCUAUCAGUUUGUUGGUGAGGUAAUGGCCCACCAAGACUAUUACAGGUACGGGCUCUGAGAGGAGUAGCCCGGAGAUGGGUACUGAGACACGGACCCAGGCCCUAUGGGGCGCAGCAGGCGAGAAAACUUUGCAAUGUGCGAAAGCACGACAAGGUUAAUCCGAGUGAUUUCUGCUAAAGAAAUCUUUUGUUAGUCCUAGAAACACUAACGAAUAAGGGGUGGGCAAGUUCUGGUGUCAGCCGCCGCGGUAAAACCAGCACCUCAAGUGGUCAGGAUGAUUAUUGGGCCUAAAGCAUCCGUAGCCGGCUCUGUAAGUUUUCGGUUAAAUCUGUACGCUCAACGUACAGGCCGCCGGGAAUACUGCAAAGCUAGGGAGUGGGAGAAGUAGACGGUACUCGGUAGGAAGUGGUAAAAUGCUUUGAUCUAUCGAUGACCACCUGUGGCGAAGGCGGUCUACUAGAACACGUCCGACGGUGAGGGAUGAAAGCUGGGGGAGCAAACCGGAUUAGAUACCCGGGUAGUCCCAGCUGUAAACUAUGCAAACUCAGUGAUGCAUUGGCUUGUGGCCAAUGCAGUGCUGCAGGGAAGCCGUUAAGUUUGCCGCCUGGGAAGUACGUACGCAAGUAUGAAACUUAAAGGAAUUGGCGGGGGAGCACCACAAGGGGUGAAGCCUGCGGUUCAAUUGGAGUCAACGCCGGG
RNAcentral lists this ribosomal RNA (914 nucleotides) under uncultured marine archaeon. RNAcentral describes it as "bacterial SSU rRNA". It matches the Rfam family "Archaeal small subunit ribosomal RNA", at positions 1 to 922 of the family's 1478-position model. The record is from RNAcentral.